CUGUGAGCCAAAGAAACCGCUUUUCUUUAUAAAUUACCCAGUUUCAGGUAUUUCCUUGCAGCAACAUGAAAGACUAAUACAGUGGGGCCCACCAAGCUGCCUCGUAGCCGGAGGGAAUCUCUUUGGCCAACAGUUGGCCUUGAGAAUGUCAAACAGACAUGCAGAAUCUAAGAAAACACAGAACGGGCAGACAGAGAGUGGGCUUUUCCUUCAUGUUGGGUAUUAGAAAAGGGGAGAUUCCCAUUCCUGAGGCUGUGUCAGGGUGUGGGGGGUGUGGCCUGCCCUGGCCUGAGGUGUGCUCCUUUUAAGACUUCCCACCCAUUGGUCAAAGCGUCCACCCUGAAUGGACCAGGUUGCUGGUGGACACUGAUCCCUGUGGCCAGGGCCUCCGAGCAUUUGGUGUUCAGCUCAUCGGGGACUCUGUGGACACCAGAGGGCAGAAUGGGGUCUGUCUGCCCAAAAGCCCCGUGGGGAGUGAGCGUGAAUUACCCCAGAGUCUGUGUAGGGAAGCCUCCUGGAGCCUGGUGCUUUCUCCUUUACAGUGGCUUUCAGUUUGUGGAUUUUUCUGAAGUUAUUGGCCUUGGAGCUUGCGUCAAGUUUCCCGAAGACCACUCCCAGUGUUGGUGAUUUUCUCAGGAGGACUCACAGCCCUCAUCACGUGGUGCUAUCCUCACAGCAUGGUUCAUUACUACGAAAGGACACAGAGCAAGCCAGCAGGGGAAAGUCACGUGGGGCAGAGUCCGGGGAUCUGGGCGCAAGUUCCCAAGAGCCUGUCCUGGUGCAGCUACACAGGACAAGGUUAUUUUCUCCAGUGUCAGGUUAUGACAACACUUGUGAACUGUCAGCUACAGGAUACUCUUAGGGACUCAGCGCCCAGGGUUUUUACUAGGGCGUAGCAUGUACCCAAAUUCUAGGCUCCCUGAGGGAAAGCAGGUGUUCAGUGGAAAGCACACUUGUUAAAAGUGGCUGAGGCACAGGGAGCCACCCUUACCAUCUGGGGACGCUGGGGAUCCUGCAGCCCACUGUGCAGGGAUGGGGGUGCCGUGCUGCAUCCCAGGGCUGAGGAGGAUUGUUUGGCUGGGGGGCUCUGUCAGUAGAAUGCAGAGGGGAGGGUCCCUCCUGAUGUUCCCAGGAGUGAAGGCAGCUCUUCAUAGUGAGUCUAGUGUUGGGCCCUGCACUAACACAAGCAGGUGCCCGGCAGGCGUUUGCCGAGGGAGGGGAAGAAUGAAGCAAUGUAUGGUGGGGUUUCUAGAACCCUCCCUGGGGAUGGCUUCUCCGUGGAGGGUAGUGAAUCCCACAGCCCCACAAGGCCCUCAGCUGGGGUGAGUUUCAGGCCACAGCGGCUCACUGGCCCUGUGACCUGAUGUGAGGGCCACCAGGGCAGGGCUUUUAGAUGCUUCCCCUGUGCUGUGUUCUCGGAGGCCUGAACACAGAGGCUCACUAAAUACUUGCUUGUUGAGAAAGGCCAAUCCCUAAACAAACCACUGUGAUGGGGGCUUAGCAGAUGCCAGUUGACUUAGCUUGUCCCCACUGUCCUUGGAGCCUGAGGCAAAAGGAGCUUCCCCUCAUGCACCAGAGACCCUUCCCUUCUGUGGGAAGAGGAAAGGGUUACCUGGGAGACUCUGUCCUGUUCUGGCACAGGAAGGGGGAAAGGACAUGGCUAGCAAGCUUGGCGGGGGCCACUGCAUGUGGCUUGGGCUGCUGCCCAUAGGCAGGAUGUCCUCUGUGGCCAGGGGCUGGCUGAUUUCCGCCUUGUGUUUUUGCCUCUUUGCUCUUCUGGGAGGAGGAAGCUGGAUCUGGGAGUGGGGCAAGGGGAGGCUGGCGGCUGCAGGAGGGAUGCCUGAAACCCAGCCUUCCUUGGUCCGUGGCCUGAGGUGAGGCCACACAGGGUGGUGAUGGCCUGCCCUUGCUGGAGCACGUGCAGCUUCUGCGUCAUGAGCUUGGAGACCAGGGCCACGCUCUGUGUUGUCAUCUGUGCUGCUUCCCUGUCCCCAGGGCUACUUAGCCCCUUCGGGAACUGCCCCUUCCUGCAGGGGUGACAGGGAUCCCUCCCUGAGGCAGAACUCCACCCCCGAAGCCCAUGUGGCCCUUCCCUGGCAUGUGCUCCCUUGCCAAGGGAGCUACCAUGGAAGGUGUCUCAUGGGUUCCUGGGGGCUGCCUCUGAGCUGUGCCGGCUGUUCUCCACAUGAGGGCCCUGGCAGACGGACCACUGGGCUGGAAUCCAUGCUCUGCACCCUGGGCUGGGCUGUUCUGUCCAGAGGAAGGGGCUCCCCCUCCCACUUCUCACAAAGGGACCCUGUGGACGAGCAGGGGCAGGGGAGCCUGGCACAGCCCAGGCGGGGCAGGCUCUUCUCCCUGUAGUGCCCAGAUUAUGACGAGUGACCCGGUUCCUGGGCUGCUGUUACGUGUGCGGGGCUCUGAGCUGCUUCUGCAGGUUCUGCUGCAACCACAGUAUUAGGGUGCAAGGAACAUGGGGUGAGGGCCUUGGAGCUGCCGGGGCUCUUGGAGCUUUGUCCUUAGCGCUUGCCAGCUUUGGAGAACUUGCCUGCAGUUCCCAGUGUGGCUGAGAGUACAGACUUGAAGGACACACAGAGAAAGGGCAAGGUCGAGCUUGGCCUUUGCAUCUGGAUGGUGGCCAGGCUGUUGGCCACACCCUGGGGGUAGUUUAUGUGACAGCUGUUGCCUCCACUGGUUGGGGCAGGACUGCUGGGUGGUAGUACUGUGGAGAGCUCACGUUGGCUUCACUGCAAGGCCCGCAGUUGCCCCUCAUGUCUGUUUCUCUACUUGUCCAUCUGGAAACUCUACCCAAGCUCCAAGACUCAGCCCAAAGUCUCCUCCUCUGUGAAACCACCCUGCCCGUAGCCUGACUCUCCAGGGAGAAUUAAUUACUUUUAGAAGAAACACACACUCAUUCCACCUUCCGAGGACAGCAUCUUGCUCUAGUGACUCAGUCUGGGAAAGACAAAAACUGUGAUUUGAUGGAGUGAUUGUUGGUGCUCUUGGCAGUGUGUGUGUGUGUGUGUGUGCACGUGGAGGUUGUGUGUAUACAUGUGUAUGUAUGCAUGUGUGUACCAGCACACACACAGGAAAGUGCAUGGGUAGGCUUAGUAAUCUAGAACCUCUUAAGCAUCACCCAGGGCUUGUGAUGGGGCCUGUUGAUUUAUCGUCUUAUCAUGAUGUUUUUACCUGAAACUAUUUUCAGCUCGAUUUCUGUUUGACAGGGUACCGAGUGAGACCCAGCUGACCUGGAAAAUGACAGGGACACUUUUUAUCCUUCCAACUUAACCUUUCCGUCCUGACUUAACCUUUCCCUCUUUGACACAAAUGAAGAAAUUAGGGCUCUUGACUGCUACUGAUUUAAGGGGAUUACAGAGGCACUGCCAGCGAGCAUGAGCACAAGAGUUUAGCGCCUCUCGGCAGCUGAGAGAGGAUGCUGCAUACUUGGGGCCUGGGACCUCCGAGAAGACCUUCUUCAGCCGAAAGCACACCUUAUUCUUGUCCCAGUUGAAGGCUUCCCAACGGUCUUCAUGUGGCACUUGCUGUGUGCCAGGCCCCACUCUGGGCACUUGGUUUAUUUAAUUCUAACCAUGGUCCUAGGUGAUGGGCGCUGGUAUGACUGUGGGAAAGGGACAAGGUGGGAGAUGUGAACGAACUUCCGGAGCCCUCCCUCGGGCAGCCUAGCUCCCCGCCUCCUCCAACACCUUCUGUUGCUUUUCCAGCACAGCCAGUACUGGGCUCUUGGGUUCGAGCACGGGGCGGGGUGAAGGGUGCUGGGAGGUCACAUUCUUGCUUCCCAGCACUGAAGACUGGAAGAAUGAAUGGCACAGAUGAACAAGGCCGUCCUGCAUCCGCCGCUCACUAGAGGCUUCACAGCUGCGUAGGGACACAGGACAUCUGUACAAUAAAUACCAAUGGUAUUAGUGCCCUAGGGCUGCAGGAACAAAGCACCACAGACUGGGGGUGCUGGAACAGCAGAAACUCAGGCUCUCCCAUUUCUGGAUGCCGGAAGUCCAAAAUCUAGUGUCGGCAGGGCUGUGUCCUCUCUGAGGUUUCCAGGGGAGGAGGCUUCCUUGCUUCUCUGGCUUCUGGUGGUGGCUGGCAAUGCUCGGCAUUCCUUGGCUUAUGGACGCAGCACUGAAAUUGCAGCCCUUAUCUUCAUGUGGCCUUCCUUGUGGCGCUCUGUGUCCAAAUGUCCCUCUCCUCUAAGGACACCAGUCAUCGGAUUAGGCCAGCUCUAAUCCGGUGUGCCUCAUCUUGAUUUAACUAACUACAUCUGCAAAGACACUAUUUCCAGAUUACGUCACGUUCCGAGGUUCCUGGUGGACGUGAAUUUUUGGAAGACGCUGUCCAACCUGGGACACCAGCCAGCCCCUCUCUGGCUCCCUCAGUCCCUCCACCCUUCGGAAGUGGUAAAUGGUGGCUUGCUAACAGCGCCUGUAGCAGCCACCUCCUGGUGAUGGCAAAGGAAGGGCCCUCUCAGUCAUAGGGGCCAAUGGCGAGGAGGACCUGGGACGUGGUGCACUGAGCAUUUUCCCUUCUCAGCAGCUCACUCCUUUGUGUGUCUGUGAUGCGAAGGCUGUGACAUCAGUCAGCCUCAUGGAGAACUGGAACAACGGGCUCUGUGUCUUUGGAGAACGCGUCAAGACCAGGGCCUCUUCCCCUGCUCCCAUGGUUCCCAGCGUUCUUGUCUCCUGAGAGAGGAUGUAGUGGGUGUCAUGUUCAGCAUCGCAACUGGCCUCCGUGGAAACCAGGGUGGAGCUCAGACGGGUGUGGGGGGAGCAUGUGACUGAGCUCCUUCCCACUCUCUCUCCGGCACACACGGAGUCAGUGUAGGGAGGUGAUGGGUAGACUCAGCCUGUGGGAUUCUGGCCUGGCUUCCCGGCAGCAAGCAGGAGCUUCAGAUGCUCAUUCCCGCCGCGGUCGGCUGUGGCGGCGACUCAUACCCGUUUCCGCUCGAAUGAUGCCAGCUGUCCUGCUGCGCCACCUUCCUCUGUCCUCGCAUCCGCUGAUGGGAUUUCCGGUCGCUUCCACUUUGUGGCUCUUUUGAAGAAUGCCGCUAGGAACAUUCACACGCAGGUUCUUGGCCAUAAAAUAUGGCUUUUGGAAAAAUAAAGCUGAGACUUGGAGUUCACGGUGGGGGCUCCCCCAUCUGUGAACAGAAGCAGAAGUUUGGAACUGCCUUCUUUACUGCUCGAGAGGGAAAACUUGAGUGAAAACCAGGAUGCUGGCGAAUGUUGAGUAGCUAAGCUGCACAGGAAAUACCACUUGAUGACCUGCGAUCUGGGGAAGCCGCGCCAGGGCUCUGCGAAGCUGCGGACGAGGGAGGCGUCAGUGUGGGGGCUGCAGCUCAGCUCCGGGGGGGACGCGCCUUUCUCCACGGGACCUGGGGCUCAGGUGCUCACGAGGCUGGGGCGCUGCAGGCCACCCGCAGGGGAAACUGAGGCCCUCCAUUUUGUGGGGCUGGAAGACCUUUCCUUCCAAAAGCAGGUGUAGGCGGGAGCACCUGUGCAGUCCCUCUGUUCAGAUCCUCACCCACUUUUAAAUCAGGAAACAGCAGAUGAAAUGCACAGUGUGAAGGACAAGGAUUCUGCUGAGAGAAUUGCUCCGAGGGUUGCUCAAGUGAUCAUGGGAAAUAAUGCAUCAAACCAUUCUUUAGAUGCAGCUCAGGUGUGCCUUUUCUUCGCCUGUGCCCAUCCACCUGAGAUGGACCAUAACCAUAAAAGUCAGAAGGCACUGACCCUUCAGGACGUGACAGGGUUAAAAGAUGCUGGAGGGAAAGUCUGUCAUUGACUUUUAUUCACUUCCUUUCUCCAUUCUGCCAUUUGGAAGAAGGUAAGCAACUUAACACUAUUUUAGACCAUAUGUUGUAAACUAGCAGGAAAAUGCCUUUGAGCUGAUGAUGGUGGCCCGAACACAGUGAACCUGUCUUAAAUCCCUGCUUUAAACCCUUAAGGGUGUCACUUACAAGAGAUACUAUUUGAAGUCUUCCCAUGCAUGUGUAGGGUGGGGGGAGUACCAACAGCUCAUCGAAUGGGCUCCAUUUGAAAGAUCUGGAUGGUUGCCUUUAUUUGUAACUAGUUUCUUUUCUUUUUUUUUUU
This 6098-nucleotide long non-coding RNA is filed under the name Homo sapiens (human). Its description in RNAcentral is "HSALNT0324980". Lineage: Eukaryota; Metazoa; Chordata; Mammalia; Primates; Hominidae. The record is from RNAcentral.